This 253-nucleotide ribosomal RNA is filed under the name uncultured bacterium. RNAcentral describes it as "partial 16S ribosomal RNA". It matches the Rfam family "Bacterial small subunit ribosomal RNA", at positions 524 to 776 of the family's 1533-position model. The record is from RNAcentral.
UACGUAGGGGGCAAGCGUUGUCCGGAUUUAUUGGGCGUAAAGAGCGUGUAGGCGGCUAGGUAGGUGGGUUGUGAAAACUGGAGGCUCAACCUUCAGACGUCGACCCAAACCCCCUGGCUAGAGUCCGGAAGAGGAGAGUGGAAUUCCCGGUGUAGCGGUGAAAUGCGUAGAGAUCGGGAGGAACACCAGAGGCGAAGGCGGCAACCUGGACAAGCACUGACACUCAACUACGAAAGCGUGGGGAGCAAACAGG